This 72-nucleotide transfer RNA is filed under the name Phrynosoma platyrhinos (Desert horned lizard). Its description in RNAcentral is "tRNA-OTHER". Lineage: Eukaryota; Metazoa; Chordata; Lepidosauria; Squamata; Phrynosomatidae. The record is from RNAcentral.
CAUUGAGUGAUGUAAUGGUCUGAGUGUUGGACUAUGACUCUAGAGACCGGGGUUUGAUUCCCUGCUUGGCCA